UUUUUUUUUUUUUUUUUUUUUUUCUUUCUCAGAGAACGCGGCGGCGUGCCUAAUACAUGCAAGUCGAACGAACUCUGGUAUUGAUUGGUGCUUGCAUCAUGAUUUACAUUUGAGUGAGUGGCGAACUGGUGAGUAACACGUGGGAAACCUGCCCAGAAGCGGGGGAUAACACCUGGAAACAGAUGCUAAUACCGCAUAACAACUUGGACCGCAUGGUCCGAGCUUGAAAGAUGGCUUCGGCUAUCACUUUUGGAUGGUCCCGCGGCGUAUUAGCUAGAUGGUGGGGUAACGGCUCACCAUGGCAAUGAUACGUAGCCGACCUGAGAGGGUAAUCGGCCACAUUGGGACUGAGACACGGCCCAAACUCCUACGGGAGGCAGCAGUAGGGAAUCUUCCACAAUGGACGAAAGUCUGAUGGAGCAACGCCGCGUGAGUGAAGAAGGGUUUCGGCUCGUAAAACUCUGUUGUUAAAGAAGAACAUAUCUGAGAGUAACUGUUCAGGUAUUGACGGUAUUUAACCAGAAAGCCACGGCUAACUACGUGCCAGCAGCCGCGGUAAUACGUAGGUGGCAAGCGUUGUCCGGAUUUAUUGGGCGUAAAGCGAGCGCAGGCGGUUUUUUAAGUCUGAUGUGAAAGCCUUCGGCUCAACCGAAGAAGUGCAUCGGAAACUGGGAAACUUGAGUGCAGAAGAGGACAGUGGAACUCCAUGUGUAGCGGUGAAAUGCGUAGAUAUAUGGAAGAACACCAGUGGCGAAGGCGGCUGUCUGGUCUGUAACUGACGCUGAGGCUCGAAAGUAUGGGUAGCAAACAGGAUUAGAUACCCUGGUAGUCCAUACCGUAAACGAUGAAUGCUAAGUGUUGGAGGGUUUCCGCCCUUCAGUGCUGCAGCUAACGCAUUAAGCAUUCCGCCUGGGGAGUACGGCCGCAAGGCUGAAACUCAAAGGAAUUGACGGGGGCCCGCACAAGCGGUGGAGCAUGUGGUUUAAUUCGAAGCUACGCGAAGAACCUUACCAGGUCUUGACAUACUAUGCAAAUCUAAGAGAUUAGACGUUCCCUUCGGGGACAUGGAUACAGGUGGUGCAUGGUUGUCGUCAGCUCGUGUCGUGAGAUGUUGGGUUAAGUCCCGCAACGAGCGCAACCCUUAUUAUCAGUUGCCAGCAUUAAGUUGGGCACUCUGGUGAGACUGCCGGUGACAAACCGGAGGAAGGUGGGGAUGACGUCAAAUCAUCAUGCCCCUUAUGACCUGGGCUACACACGUGCUACAAUGGAUGGUACAACGAGUUGCGAACUCGCGAGAGUAAGCUAAUCUCUUAAAGCCAUUCUCAGUUCGGAUUGUAGGCUGCAACUCGCCUACAUGAAGUCGGAAUCGCUAGUAAUCGCGGAUCAGCAUGCCGCGGUGAAUACGUUCCCGGGCCUUGUACACACCGCCCGUCACACCAUGAGAGUUUGUAACACCCAAAGUCGGUGGGGUAACCUUUUAGGAACCAGCCGCCUAAGGUGGGACAGAUGAUUAGGGUGAAGUCU
Molecule: ribosomal RNA, 1524 nt
Filed under: Lactiplantibacillus pentosus
Lineage: Bacteria; Bacillati; Bacillota; Bacilli; Lactobacillales; Lactobacillaceae
Description: partial 16S ribosomal RNA
Rfam family: Bacterial small subunit ribosomal RNA
Source: RNAcentral